GACGAACGCUGGCGGCGUGCUUAACACAUGCCAGUCGAACGGAAAGGCCCUGCUUUUGUGGGGUGCUCGAGUGGCGAACGGGUGAGUAACACGUGAGUAACCUGCCCUUGACUUUGGGAUAACUUCAGGAAACUGGGGCUAAUACCGGAUAGGAGCUCCUGCUGCAUGGUGGGGGUUGGAAAGUUUCGGCGGUUGGGGAUGGACUCGCGGCUUAUCAGCUUGUUGGUGGGGUAGUGGCUUACCAAGGCUUUGACGGGUAGCCGGCCUGAGAGGGUGACCGGCCACAUUGGGACUGAGAUACGGCCCAGACUCCUACGGGAGGCAGCAGUGGGGAAUAUUGCACAAUGGGCGGAAGCCUGAUGCAGCAACGCCGCGUGCGGGAUGACGGCCUUCGGGUUGUAAACCGCUUUCGCCUGUGACGAAGCGUGAGUGACGGUAAUGGGUAAAGAAGCACCGGCUAACUACGUC
This 468-nucleotide ribosomal RNA is filed under the name uncultured bacterium. RNAcentral's name for it is "partial 16S ribosomal RNA". It matches the Rfam family "Bacterial small subunit ribosomal RNA", at positions 28 to 507 of the family's 1533-position model. The record is from RNAcentral.